Molecule: non-coding RNA, 101 nt
Filed under: Reticulomyxa filosa
Lineage: Eukaryota; Foraminifera; Reticulomyxidae
Description: Glycine sequence
Rfam family: Glycine riboswitch aptamer
About the family: This family represents the bacterial glycine riboswitch. Glycine riboswitches usually consist of two metabolite-binding aptamers domains with similar structures in tandem.
Source: Rfam by way of RNAcentral
GCGCAUUCCGCAGGAGAGAGCGGUUUGCCCGCCGGGCAGAACCGCCGCCGAAGGCGCAAGUGCACCCGCAAUCGCUCAGGCAAAAGGACUGCAAGAAUCGG